AAAAAGACAAACCCUAGGUUUCCGUGUCCAACGUUUGACUGUCCGUCUUAUUUGAAAAAAUUAUAAAAAAUUUAAAAAAGACAAGUCACGCAUAAAGUAUUAAUCAUGUUUUAUCAUCUAACAACAAUGAAAAUACUAAUUAUAAAAAAAUUUCAUAUAAGACGGACAGUCAAACGUUGGACACGGAAACCCAGGGUUUGUCUUUUU
RNAcentral lists this microRNA precursor (207 nucleotides) under Oryza nivara. Its description in RNAcentral is "MIR812 microRNA precursor family". It matches the Rfam family "MIR812 microRNA precursor family". Lineage: Eukaryota; Viridiplantae; Streptophyta; Magnoliopsida; Poales; Poaceae. The record is from Rfam by way of RNAcentral.